Molecule: small RNA, 435 nt
Filed under: Pongo abelii (Sumatran orangutan)
Lineage: Eukaryota; Metazoa; Chordata; Mammalia; Primates; Hominidae
Description: retained intron
Source: RNAcentral
GAACUUAUUUUUUCGUAUCUCAUAUUUAACACAAAUGGAUGUAAAACUGGUAUUUGUUAUGGAAGGGGAACCACCAAAGCUGAAAGCUGAUGUCAUAAGCAAGAGGAAUCAGACUCGGUAUGGGUCAUCUGGAAAAUCGUGGUCUCAGAAAACAGGGAGAUCACAUUUUAAAUCAGUCUUAAGAGAGUGCCUCCAUAUGCUCGAAUGCUUAGGAAUCCCCUGGGUUCAGGCUGCUGGGGAAGCUGAAGCCAUGUGUGCUUAUCUCAAUGCUGGUGGUCAUGUCGAUGGCUGCCUCACCAAUGACGGAGAUACUUUCCUUUAUGGGGCCCAGACGGUUUACAGGAAUUUCACUAUGAAUACAAAGGUGUUUAUUUUCUUUCUCUUUUUCAGCAUUUGUUUACAAACUACCUUUUUUAAAGAGCUGAUUAAAUGAAA